GUGGAAGCGAGCUUGCUUUUCGCUGACGAGUGGCGCACGGGUGCGUAACGCGUAUACAAUCUGCCUCUUACAGGGGGAUGGCCUUUGGAAACGAAGAAUAAUACCCCAUGGUAUCCCGACCCCGCAUGGGCGUCGGGAUUAAAGAUUUAUCGGUAAGAGAUGAGUAUGCGUCCUAUUAGCUAGAUGGUGUGGUAACGGCACACCAUGGCCACGAUAGGUGGGGGCCCUGAGAGGGGGAUCCCCCACACUGGUACUGAGACACGGACCAGACUCCUACGGGAGGCAGCAGUGAGGAAUAUUGGACAAUGGGCGGAAGCCUGAUCCAGCCAUGCCGCGUGCAGGAAGACUGCCCUAUGGGUUGUAAACUGCUUUUGUACGGGAAGAAACCCACCUACGAGUAGGUGGCUGACGGUACCGUAAGAAUAAGCAUCGGCUAACUCCGUGCCAGCAGCCGCGGUAAUACGGAGGAUGCAAGCGUUAUCCGGAAUCAUUGGGUUUAAAGGGUCCGUAGGUGGAUCGGUCAGUCAGAGGUGAAAUCCUGCAGCUCAACUGUAGAACUGCCUUUGAUACUGCCGGUCUUGAAUUAUCGUGAAGUGGUUAGAAUAUGUAGUGUAGCGGUGAAAUGCAUAGAUAUUACAUAGAAUACCGAU
RNAcentral lists this ribosomal RNA (650 nucleotides) under uncultured bacterium. Its description in RNAcentral is "bacterial SSU rRNA". It matches the Rfam family "Bacterial small subunit ribosomal RNA", at positions 69 to 713 of the family's 1533-position model. The record is from RNAcentral.